UGGGGAAUAUUGCACAAUGGGCGAAAGCCUGAUGCAGCAACGCCGCGUGAGUGAUGAAGGCCUUCGGGUUGUAAAGCUCUGUCUUUUGGAGACGAUAAUGACGGUACCAAAGGAGGAAGCCACGGCUAACUACGUGCCAGCAGCCGCGGUAAUACGUAGGUGGCAAGCGUUGUCCGGAUUUACUGGGCGUAAAGGAUGCGUAGGCGGAUUUUUAAGUGAGAUGUGAAAACCCUAAGCUUAACUUGGGGACUGCAUUUCAUACUGGAAAUCUAGAGUGCGGGAGAGGAGAAUGGAAUUCCUAGUGUAGCGGUGAAAUGCGUAGAGAUUAGGAAGAACACCAGUGGCGAAGGCGAUUCUCUGGACCGUAACUGACGCUGAGGCAUGAAAGCGUGGGUAGCAAACAGGAUUAGAUACCCUGGUAGUCCACGCCGUAAACGAUGAGUACUAGGUGUAGGAGGUAUCGACCCCUUCUGUGCCGCAGUUAACACAAUAAGUACUCCGCCUGGGAAGUACGAUCGCAAGAUUAAAA
Molecule: ribosomal RNA, 529 nt
Filed under: uncultured bacterium
Lineage: Bacteria
Description: partial 16S ribosomal RNA
Rfam family: Bacterial small subunit ribosomal RNA
Source: RNAcentral